AACGCUAGCUACAGGCUUAACACAUGCAAGUCGAGGGGCAGCAUGGUCUUAGCUUGCUAAGGCCGAUGGCGACCGGCGCACGGGUGAGUAACACGUAUCCAACCUGCCGUCUACUCUUGGACAGCCUUCUGAAAGGAAGAUUAAUACAAGAUGGCAUCAUGAGUCCGCAUGUUCACAUGAUUAAAGGUAUUCCGGUAGACGAUGGGGAUGCGUUCCAUUAGAUAGUAGGCGGGGUAACGGCCCACCUAGUCUUCGAUGGAUAGGGGUUCUGAGAGGAAGGUCCCCCACAUUAGAACUGAGACACGGUCCAAACUCCUACGGGAGGCAGCAGUGAGGAAUAUUGGUCGAUGGGCGAGAGCCUGAACCAGCCAAGUAGCGUGAAGGAUGACUGCCCUAUGGGUUGUAAACUUCUUUUAUAAAGGAAUAAAGUCGGGUAUGGAUACCCGUUUGCAUGUACUUUAUGAAUAAGGAUCGGCUAACUCCGUGCCAGCAGCCGCGGUAAUACGGAGGAUCCGAGCGUUAUCCGGAUUUAUUGGGUUUAAAGGGAGCGUAGAUGGAUGUUUAAGUCAGUUGUGAAAGUUUGCGGCUCAACCGUAAAAUUGCAGUUGAUACUGGAUGUCUUGAGUGCAGUUGAGGCAGGCGGAAUUCGUGGUGUAGCGGUGAAAUGCUUAGAUAUCACGAAGAACUCCGAUUG
RNAcentral lists this ribosomal RNA (694 nucleotides) under uncultured bacterium. Its description in RNAcentral is "bacterial SSU rRNA". It matches the Rfam family "Bacterial small subunit ribosomal RNA", at positions 32 to 715 of the family's 1533-position model. The record is from RNAcentral.